RNA transcript from Phodopus roborovskii (desert hamster), 5482 nucleotides. It is a transcript of the gene named leptin receptor, with no coding region annotated. NCBI's taxonomy places the organism in Eukaryota, Metazoa, Chordata, Mammalia, Rodentia, Cricetidae. The record is from RefSeq and is a predicted model, not a curated record. The transcript is spliced from 20 exons.
GCAGUCACCUGUGUGCCCAGUGGCGCGCCCGCGUGCCUGUGGCCGGCACCUUCAGAGCCAGCGACACACAGCUCAGGCAUCCCUUGCCACACGUCAUCCCACGACACAGGUGGGACCCCCUUCUAGACCUGAACCCUUGGCGCAGGGCCACCCAGGGCUGCGCAGUAGGACGCAGCAGGUCUGAGAACCAGACGGUUGCUUUGGGCGGCACCUGCGGAGGGCCGAGCAACUUCUCCAGGCCUCCUGCCACUUUGGAAACUGCCUGGGACUGCAACCUCUUCAGCCCCGGGGACUGAGAGAGGGUGGGUUGGUUUGAAAGACAAAAGGGGAAAAAAUGUGUUGUGGGGCGGGCUAAGUUUCCCACCCUCUUCCCCCUUCCCGAGCAAAUUAAAAACAAAACAAAUAGAAAAGCCUGCCUGGCAGCCAACCAAAGCCCCAAUACGAGCCCAGCCGAAACACUCAAUCCUUUAAAAGGAUUUGCAGCAGUGAGGAAAAAACCAGAGCUGACCGAAGAAUCGUUCUGCAAACCCAGGUGCACAUCUCUGAAGUAAGAUGAUUUGUCAGAAAUUCUAUGUGAUAUUAUUACACUGGGAAUUUCUGUAUGUGAUAGCUGCACUUAACCUGCCAUAUCCAGUUUCUCCCUGGAGAUUUAAGUUGGUUUGUGCACCACUAAAUACAACGGAUAACUCCUUUCCUUCACCUGCUGGAAUCCCAAAGAAUGCCUCUGCUUUGGGUGGGGGUUAUGAAGCAGUUUUUGAAACUAACUUCAAUGCAAGCAGCACAUAUGUUUCUGAGUUAUCCAAAACCAUUUUCCACUGUUGCUUUGGGAAUGAUCAAGGUAAAAACUGCUCUAUGCUAGCAGGCAACACUGAAGGGAAGACACUGGCUUCAAUGGCAAAGGCCUUGAUUUUUCACCAGCUAGGUGUAAACUGGGACAUAGAGUGCUGGAUGAAAGGGGACUUGACAUUAUUAAUCUGUCACAUGGAACCAUUAAAGAGCCCCUUCAAGAACUAUGACUCUAAGGUCCAUCUUUUUUAUGAUCUGCCUGAAGUCAUAGGUGAUUUGCCUCUGGCCCCCUUGAAAGACACUUUUCAGACUGUCCAGUGCAACUGCAGUGUUCGGGAAUGUGACUGUCAUGUGCCAGUACCAAGAGACAAACUCAACCACUCUCUUCUGAUGUAUUUGGAAAUGACAUCUGCUGGUGUGACUUUUCAGUCACCUCUAAUGUCAGUGCAGCCAAUGCUUGUCGUGAAGCCUGAUCCACCCUUAGGUUUGCAUAUGGAAAUCACAGACGAUGGUAAUUUAAAGAUUUCUUGGGACAGCCCAACGGUGGCACUGUUUCCACUUCAAUAUCAAGUCAAAUAUUCAGAGAAUUCUACAGUUAUAAGGGAGGCUACUGAAGCUGUCUCGGCUCCAUCCCUGCUGCUACACAGCCUGCUUCCUGGGUCUUCGUAUGAGGUUCAGGUGAGAACCAAGAGACUGGACGGCUCAGGAGUCUGGAGUGACUGGAGUUUGCCUCAAGUCUUUACCACACAAGAUGUCAUGUACUUUCCACCCAAAAUUCUGACAAGUGUUGGAUCGAAUGCUUCCUUUCACUGCAUCUACAAGAAUGAAAAUCAAAUUAUUUCCUCAAAACAGAUAGUUUGGUGGAUGAAUCUAGCUGAGAAAAUCCCUGAAAUCCAGUAUAGUGCUGUGAAUGACCAUGUUAGCAAAGUCACUUUCUCCAACUUGAAAGCCACUAGACCUCGAGGGAAGUUUGCCUAUGACGCAGUGUACUGCUGCAGUGGGCAAGGGUGCCAUCAUCGCUAUGCUGAGUUAUAUGUGAUCGAUGUCAAUAUCAAUAUAUCAUGUGAAACUGAUGGGUACUUAACUAAAAUGACUUGCAGAUGGUCACCCAGCACAAUCCAAUCACUUGUGGGAAGCACUGUGCAGUUGAGGUAUCACAGGAGCAGCCUGUAUUGUUCUGACAGCCCAUCUAUUCAUCCUGCAUCUGAGCCCCAAAACUGCAUUUUGCAGAGGGAUGGCUUUUAUGAAUGUGUUUUCCAGCCAAUCUUUCUAUUAUCUGGCUACACAAUGUGGAUCAGGAUCAACCAUUCUUUAGGUUCUCUUGAGUCUCCACCAACAUGUGUCCUUCCUGACUCUGUAGUAAAACCACUACCUCCAUCUAGUGUGAAAGCAGAGAUUACUAUAAACACUGGAUUAUUGAAAAUAUCUUGGGAAAAGCCUGUCUUUCCAGAGAAUAACCUUCAGUUCCAGAUUCGAUAUGGCUUAAAUGGAAAAGAAAUACAGUGGAAGAUGCAUGAGGUAUUUGAUGCAAAAUCAAAGUCUGCCAGCCUGCCGGUGCUGGACCUCUGUGCAGUGUAUGUGGCACAGGUACGCUGCAGGAGAUUGGAUGGACUUGGGUACUGGAGUAAUUGGAGCAGGCCAGCCUACACGCUUGUCAUGGAUGUAAAAGUUCCUAUGAGAGGACCUGAAUUUUGGAGAAUAAUGAAUGGCGAUAUUACUAAAAGGGAGAGAAAUGUCACCUUGCUUUGGAAGCCCCUGAUGAAAAAUGACUCCCUGUGCAGUGUGAGGAGGUAUGUGGUGCAGCAUCGUACUGCCCACAAUGGGACGUGGUCAGAAGACGCUGGAGAUCAGACCAAUCUCACUUUCCUGUGGGCAGAACAAGCACACACCGUUACAGUUCUGGCCAUCAACUCCAUUGGCGCUUCCCCUGCGAAUUUUAAUCUAACGUUUUCAUGGCCAAUGAGUAAAGUGAGUGCCGUGCAGUCACUCAGUGCUUACCCCCUGAGCAGCAGCUGUGUGAUCCUUUCCUGGAUACUGUCACCCGGUGAUUACAAUCUAAUAUACCUGGUUAUUGAAUGGAAGAAUCUUAAUGAAGAUGACGGGAUGAAAUGGCUUAGAAUCCCUUCGAAUGUUAAGAAGUAUUAUAUCCAUGAUAACUUUAUUCCAAUUGAGAAAUAUCAAUUUAGUCUUUACCCAGUAUUUUUGGAAGGAGUUGGAAAACCAAAGAUAAUUAAUGGUUUCACCCAAGAUGAUAUGGACAAGCAACAGAAUGAUGCAGGGCUGUAUGUGAUUGUGCCCAUAAUUAUUUCCUCUUGUGUCCUACUGCUUGGAACACUGUUAAUCUCACACCAGAGAAUGAAAAAGUUGUUUUGGGAAGAUGUUCCAAACCCCAAGAAUUGUUCCUGGGCACAAGGACUUAACUUCCAAAAGAGAACGGACAUUCUUUGAAGUCUUUCAUGACCACUACAGAUGAACCCAAUGUACCAACUUCCCAACAGACUAUAGAGUAUUAGAAGAUGUUUACAGUUUGAAGGAGGGAAACAAACCUAAACUGUUGUCUGAAUUACUAAGAACUAACAUAUGACAAGCUUAUUAGAGACAUGUACAAAUAAGUUUAAUGUAGUUCAGUUGGGGGCAUAUGCUUAAUUGUCAGGGCAGCUAAAGUUUAAAAUUAAUAUUCAUGGUCUCUGCUUCAAAUUUUUAAUUUUCUGAUCCUCAAAUGUUAAUGGUGUGACUGUUGCUGUCAGAACAUAUUCUAUUAUCAAAUAUGAUAGAAAUAUAGUAGAAAUUGCUAUAACAACAUGAUCUCUAAUGGGCAACUUCUGACAUACAGCCUUGCAAAAACUCCACAUACAAACUGCAGGGAAGGUAUUUAGUUUUUAUUUCUAUGUGGGAAAGCUUCCAUAUCAGAGUUCUUUACAGAUACAAAAUGAUAAAUUUCAAGUUCUCUUAAAUAACAUGAUUUUUGUGUACCAAAUUUGGAGCAAUCUAGGAAUUUUAGUUUUUUUAUGGUCUUAAACAUGGCUUAAGUUCUAACUCUCAAUUUAGUUUAAAGAGAGCCAGAAGUUGUGGUUUUUGAUGAUCACAGACCAAUGCGAGCUAUGCUUCAUAUUAGAAUAACCCUACACACUCAGGUCAGAUUGCCCAGAGCAGAAGAGAGUACUAACCUCCAUGAAUCUAAUUUAUUUCCACUGAAACAGUCAAGACUUCUGGCAGGCAAGGAAGUGUGCAGGAAAGAGAGACUUUAUGGAGUUUUACAAAUAGUUCAUGGUAAGAACAGGGCUUUUCUCCCUGAAAAAACAGAUUUAUUGCCAUGUCUGUAGUAUUCAGGCUUUACUGCUUACAUUCAAACUAAACCAAAUUGAUGAACACAAGAAAACUCAAAUUUAAGGUAUGUGGGUAACUUAGAUGUGGUUGGUAAUUAUAUUUGAAUGUCUAAAGAAAAUUAAGACACUAGGAGGAUGUAUCCCCUUUUCUUGUAUUUACUAUUAAUAGACAUCAUUGCAAAAUAAUGUUCAGCUGUGAACUUAAGAAAGGUUAUUUUUCAAUUCUUAUAUCCAUAGGGUUAAAGAAAUUUUGAACAAAUAUACUUGUAACACAUUUUGUGAAUGGUGAUAUAUAGUUCAGUAAUGUGUGGUUAAAAAUAACAUUUAUUAUUGAAACUUUCCUCAUGAAUGCUUUUUAAGAUGGCCAUGACUAGUUCCACAAUUAAUUAUUCAUAAAGAAGCUUUAGGACCCAUGGAGUAUAUGAAACAGAUCAUUUGAAUAACACACAUGAGCUCAAAUGCAUGCUGUAUUUCUAUUUUUCCAUAUUGAUAGAAAGAAGAUAAUGAAAUGAAUUGAUCAGAUGUUAAGUUCAUUUAAAAUUUUAGAACAACUCAAUAAUAUAAAUAGUAGAAACAUUAAGGGAAAAAUAAAAUGUUUGAAGGAAGUGACAAAUGUAUAGAUUUCUGUCAGAAAAAAAUGUCAAUUUUCUCUUAAUUUUUUAACAGUACUUGUCAUUCACUAUUUUAACACUUACAUAUGUCUAUGCCAUUAUUAUAUUUAUUCCUCUAUUACUAAUAUAUUUCAGUUAAGAGUUUGCAGCUGCUAUGUUUUUAUAUGGGAUAUGCUUGCCAUUAUAAACAUUUGAGUAUACUGCUAUCUCAGGCAAUAACUAAGAAUUCAUUUGAUUAGCUUAAAAAAUAUAACAUUCAAAUUCUAAAUUACAUGUAUGAUCUAGAUCUAUGAACCAAACACAUCUUCUGUUUUUUGUGUUAACUAUUCAAUGUGAUGUAUCUGCAGUUAUUUUUUAUUUUGCAUUUUAAUUUUACAUUUUAAGUUUACAUUGUUUGUACUGAGCUUUGUGCACACAGAUUUUUGAUUUGUAGUUGCUUGGCGGGAUUUCAUUGUUAUGUAACCAUUGUUCUUAUAAAAAAAAGAUAUGCUGUACAUCUGUCUUGUGUGUUUGUCUUCAUUCUAUGUGUUCCAUAGGGUAUGUCUUUACAUGAAGUUAUGUAUAAAGAAUAACAGUUUUCAAGUCUAUCAAUGUCUCUUUCACCAUCAUUAUCUUCAGCAACCUGAAACAUUUGAGCAUCUUUUUACCAAGCAUGCAGAAUCAGUGAUAUUUGGUCCUCUUCUUCUGGAACCUGAACCCAUUUCAGAAGAAAUCAGUGUUGAUACAGCUUGGAAAAAUAAAGAUGAGAUGGUACCAGCA